RNAcentral lists this ribosomal RNA (253 nucleotides) under uncultured bacterium. RNAcentral describes it as "partial 16S ribosomal RNA". It matches the Rfam family "Bacterial small subunit ribosomal RNA", at positions 524 to 776 of the family's 1533-position model. The record is from RNAcentral.
GACGUAGGGCGCGAGCGUUGUCCGGAUUUAUUGGGCGUAAAGAGCUCGUAGGCGGCUUGUCGCGUCGACUGCGAAAACCCGCGGCUCAACUGCGGGCCUGCAGCCGAUACGGGCAGACUAGAGUGAUGUAGGGGAGACUGGAAUUCCUGGUGUAGCGGUGAAAUGCGCAGAUAUCAGGAGGAACACCGAUGGCGAAGGCAGGUCUCUGGGCAUUAACUGACGCUGAGGAGCGAAAGCGUGGGGAGCGAACAGG